RNAcentral lists this long non-coding RNA (232 nucleotides) under Coffea arabica (coffee). Its description in RNAcentral is "long non-coding RNA (CARA_LNC000514)". The record is from RNAcentral. Lineage: Eukaryota; Viridiplantae; Streptophyta; Magnoliopsida; Gentianales; Rubiaceae.
ACAAAAUUAUUCACAUAUAAGUUCAACGUUGGAUUAAGGAUCCAAUAUGUUUUAUUUGACUAAAUUACAUAUUUCACAUGAUUUGGAAAACUUCAUAGAAGUAUUAAAUGUAGAAUAUGUUAAACUAGCCACACUUUAUGAAUGAACUCCCAGAACGAGUAAGUGCAAUAUUCUGUUGUGAGAAUAGACAGUUGAUGCAGGUGAGUUUGGCUUUACUAGACUUCCAUCAACG